UACGUAGGUCCCGAGCGUUGUCCGGAUUUAUUGGGCGUAAAGCGAGCGCAGGUGGUUUAUUAAGUCUGGUGUAAAAGGCAGUGGCUCAACCAUUGUAUGCAUUGGAAACUGGUAGACUUGAGUGCAGGAGAGGAGAGUGGAAUUCCAUGUGUAGCGGUGAAAUGCGUAGAUAUAUGGAGGAACACCAGUGGCGAAAGCGGCUCUCUGGCCUGUAACUGACACUGAGGCUCGAAAACGUGGGGAGCAAACAGG
This 252-nucleotide ribosomal RNA is filed under the name uncultured bacterium. RNAcentral describes it as "partial 16S ribosomal RNA". It matches the Rfam family "Bacterial small subunit ribosomal RNA", at positions 524 to 776 of the family's 1533-position model. The record is from RNAcentral.